CCUACGGGUGGCAGCAGUGGGGAAUAUUGCACAAUGGGGGAAACCCUGAUGCAGCGACGCCGCGUGAGUGAUGAAGUAUUUCGGUAUGUAAACUCCUAUCAUUAGAGAAGAAAAUGACGGUAUCUGACGAAUAAGCACCGGCUAACUCCGUGCCAGCAGCCGCGGUAAUACGUAGGGGGCAAGCGUUACCCGGAUUUACUGGGCGUAAAGAGCGCGUAGACGGCAGAGCAAGUCUGGAGUGAAAUGCCGGGGCUUAACCCUAGAACUGCUUUUGAAACUGUGCAGCUAGAGUGCAGGAGAGGUAGGUGGAAUUCCUGGUGUAGCGGUGAAAUGCGUAGAGAUUAGGAGGAAUACUAGUGGCGAAGGCGACUUACUGGACUGUAACUGACGUUGAGGCGCGAAAGCGUGGGGAGCAAACAGGAUUAGAUACCCUAGUAGUC
This 440-nucleotide ribosomal RNA is filed under the name uncultured bacterium. RNAcentral's name for it is "partial 16S ribosomal RNA". It matches the Rfam family "Bacterial small subunit ribosomal RNA", at positions 338 to 795 of the family's 1533-position model. The record is from RNAcentral.